GAUCGGGUCCUACAACACAUUAGGUCCUUGACUAGCUGUAGUUUGUCAUGCCAACGAAGAAACUGUGGUAGAUUUUACAAAAUUUUCUACAAUAGAGCCAAAUACCAAGGUAUUCCAUCGAGUUUUUUAGGCAUUUAGACCAUGCAUUCAGGGCUUUCAGUUUUGCCGCUCACUAACUAGUAUUGAUGCAACGCAUAUGUAAGAUCGAUAUAAGAGUAUACUCAUG
RNAcentral lists this long non-coding RNA (226 nucleotides) under Elaeis guineensis (African oil palm). Its description in RNAcentral is "long non-coding RNA (EGUI_LNC016017)". Lineage: Eukaryota; Viridiplantae; Streptophyta; Magnoliopsida; Arecales; Arecaceae. The record is from RNAcentral.